AAAUUAAAUUAAAAACAGAAACUAAAAAAAAAAGUUUAUUUCGAACCACCUUUUUGUACUGAUCAAAUAUUGCAAAUCACUCUUUCAUCAUCCUCCAUACUAUCAACACGCACUUUCUACAUUUAACCGUUUUGGCAAGAACGCUUCUAAACCAGUACCUUUUGGAAGAUUAUACUUCACUUUAUUAUCAAUCGAAGUUUUAUUUGAGUCGUCGAGACCCUGACCUGCACGGCAGCUACAACAACUUAAACGAUAAAGUUCGCGCCAAAAAGGCAGCCGCCAUUAUCGUGACGUCAUAAUAGCAGUGCAGUAACAAAGAAACUUCAAAUGUGCAGUGCAAACUUGACGACCUGUCUGGCCUAAUGGAUCACUACCCUGCCUAUGAAGCCGAUGGUCCCGGGUUCAAAUCCUGGUAAGGGUAUUUAUUUGUGUGAUGAGCACGGAUAUUUGUUCCUGAGUCUUGGGUGUUUUCUGUGUAUUUAUAUACCUAUUAUAUAUAUCGUUGCCUGAGUACCCACAACACAAGCCUUCUUGAGCUUACUGUGGUGCUUAGUCAAUUUGUGUAAUAAUGUCCUAUAAUAUUUAUUUAUUUAUUUACUUACGUUUGUCAUCUUCGGUAACCCCGAAAGUUUCUGAAUACAAAUAAAGAUCUAUUGAUUAUUAAUAGAGACAAUAGAAAUAAAGAUAUUAUGAAGUCUAUCACAUAAUGCAAUUACAGUUUAUAAAAGAACAAAUUACAUAAAAAGCUAUUGACGUAUGUUAUUUUAUUACGUCAGAGCAGUGUUUUUCUACAUUAUCCACGACACGAUCUCAUUUGCAUGGAAAAAAAUUACGAAUAUAGGGACAUUGACAUGAAAAUGGUUUUCGGUAAUCUCGGCUAUUUAUAACCUGUAUUAUUCUUUCUGUUUUACGGAGGCUUUGGCCCCGCGACUCUUUUUAGGGUUCCGUAGCCAAAUGGCAAAAAACGGAACCCUUAUAGAUUCAUCAUGUCCGUCUGUCUGUCCGAUUAUGUCACAGCCACUUUUUUUAAAUCUUGUAGGUUCUUUUUGACCAGGGGUUAAAAAUGCUGCUUCAGAUAAAUAAAUAGGCAGUUUUUCGAUAUUAAACGACCUUAGAUUAACACUAUGGCCUUUAAAAUUACGAUCAUUAAUCAUGAGUUUGAAACCUUUAAUCUUCCUUGCCUUUUAGCGCAUCUGGUGCCAACUGGGCCGAUUUUUUUUUCGUUGUGAAUUUUGCCCGUCUGUUUUGCACAAAUUAUAUACUAUAGGCGCAACUUCAUUGUAUAUUCCACAAAAUCACCCUCUGAGUCUCUGUACCUAAGUUAUUUUUUUUGUACCAAAUUGGGACUUCGUAUUUAUUUCACCCAGAAUUUAACUUAGAUAAGAUCGUGUCAUUCACGACGAUGCGUAGGUAUCUUAACUCAUGUCAUAAUGUUAUUAAAGGUUAAAUUUGACAAAACUGCGCGUCAUUGAAGUUUUAUCAAAAUCUGACUUCAAUAAAAAUCGGCUCAACUUAUAGGGAGCGUGCAUGAACUGUAGGAGGCAGCACAGGAGCCGUCAGAUUUUUGGCGCGAGGCGUAAAUGUGAUGUUUUUUGUUCCGAUUUAGCCCACAAGAUGGCAGAACCUACUAUGCACAAGAAAACACGUGACGUGUACAUGUGCAUGUUUAUGGUUCCGAUUCAGGCCACAAGAUGGCAGACCCUCCAACGCGCACGGUCCCUAUACCUAUUGACAUAAUGCCAAAUGUAAAUACCUACUGCAAUGUUUGUUUAGUUAUGAAUCUCUCUGGCCUAUCAUUUACUAAUCCUCAAAUAGUUGAGUAAUAGGUAUUUGAUAGCGAGCUUGCAAUCAUACGAUGUGCAGUCAUGAUAGACACGAAAUAUGUAAUGAGCAUUAUGAAACUAGAAAAACCUUCACGGCACCGGUGGAGUGGGGUAUUUCAUAGUUCAACCCUUUCACUGCCAUGACAUAAUCUUAUACCUUUAAGGGCCUACGCUAGCUGAUGCGACAGAGAGGCAACACGUCGAACGUGGUUCGCGGUAAGCCCUCUGGUCCCUACAUAACCCAGCUUAUCAUACCAGCCCAGCCCACAAGUACCUAAUCGUAUUCGUUAUCUAUACUAUUUUUCAAACAGGAAGGGUACGCUGACAGAAUAAUGAAUGAUUUGAUAAAAUUUAGCGAGAUGGCGUUUUAAGCUUGUUGCGGAGAUGACACCUGUCACCGUACCCAUAGUGUUUGAAAGAUAUAGUGGCGGUGAAUGCAAAAUAAAAUACUUCACUUUCGUAUAUUUUGAAUAUACUUACUUCAUACAGAAUGGGUUAAUUGGGUUACCUUUUUCAGCGUAGUAACAGAUUUAGACUCUGAGGACUUGAGCUACCAACACUACUCUGACACCAACUGAAGUACAUAAAAUUGAUUACUCGAUGUUUUUUUAUACCAUGACUGGCAUACGAUCCACUUCAUAGUAAGCUAACAUCGAAAGUUGUUGAAUAAAGAUGCGCAAGGUAUUUCGUCUGGGCUGCUAAAAUAUUUAGACAUACCACUUUUUUUUACUUAUUUUUCUGCUUCUAUAUAGUAUGAAUUGUUAUUAUUCGUCAGGGGGUAGAAUCCAAAGCAAGCAAGAGCAGAAUAUUUAUUAUUUUCUAAUGAAACCUACCAGAACGCAAAGAAUUUGGAAUGACCAAGGUAAUAAAUUUAAGAGAUACAGACGUUCAAUGAAGGGGGACGAAAAUUUGAGCCUGGAUAUGGGUCUAUGGGCACUCAGUUCAGGCAAUGAGACAGAUAACAUAGAACCAAUUAGAAACCGUUGGAGAAGCUGGAGAAAUAUUGAGCAGCAGCAUCGUGAAAGCAGUGGAGAAGACGAGGAAUGGGGUCGUCUGGGUGAGUCGAUAAGUUUUCAGAUUUUUUGGCCCCAUGGUUCAAGAGGAGGUAACAUAUUUUUUUCUUUCGGAGCUAUUGUUUCAGAAAAUAUUAACAUUAUCAAAAAAUGGUCUGUCGAGACCCUUAUUCGUUUUGAAAUAAUUAUAAAUUUGUAUAGCGACCAAGAAUUGUUUUAAAAAAAAUCUUUUAUUUCGUGUAACAAGAGACAUAUCUUCUUAAACUAAAAAACUAAAUUUUAAAAAUCCUUAUUUAUUAAACGGGCUUUACCAUUCGACAGUACUAGUGGGUGAAUGUAAUCUUCCACAAUGUGAUAAAUAGACACAAUCCACCCUCUCGGCUAUCAUCUUCAGAAUGAUGUUGGGACUGCCCCGCACCCGACCAAAUAAAUAAACUAUUGGGUCAAAGCAAAAAAUAAACAAAUAAAAUUUUGUAUGUGCGGUAAAUUUAUUUGUAGUUUUUGUUUUUAGACGGUAGAUACUGGUAUGUUAUUAUUUUUAAAUUCUAUGCAUAAAAAAGUUAUAUUAUACCUCUUGCGUCAAAUGAUGGUGGUGGCGGACGACGAGGCGGCGGCGGCCGACUGGGCGCGCCUCACCUUCGACCUCAAGCGCGCCAAGCUGUCCCGCGACUCGGUGAGCACACACCUCCACUAUCGACCUCACCGUCCUCACCACACAGGCGCUCCCGUACUCAUGUAGUAUGGGAGCGCGACCUCUUCUUUUGGUUGCGCUUACAACUAUGACCAUUACUCGUGUAAUUUAAAUAUAUUUACAAAAAAUAAGUUUCACCCCACCUGGGCUAUUAUAGUAUAAACAGGUGUAGAUUACGACUCGGUUGAAUUACCCAAAUCGUAGCAUUUUACAAGUAACAUUGCACCUAUGUGGCCUCGUGCUUUUUGUAAACCCUUCAUGAUGCAGUUCGGUGUAUUAUAGUAGCAUACGACGAAAUAUGGCAACAUUCACUCUCUAAAAGUAAAAGUUUAAACAUUAAAGAUUGGCAGAGUUCUCUUGCA
Long non-coding RNA from Cydia pomonella (codling moth), 3889 nucleotides. RefSeq lists it as uncharacterized. The record is from RefSeq and is a predicted model, not a curated record. Lineage: Eukaryota; Metazoa; Arthropoda; Insecta; Lepidoptera; Tortricidae. The transcript is spliced from 2 exons.